Molecule: ribosomal RNA, 376 nt
Filed under: uncultured bacterium
Lineage: Bacteria
Description: bacterial SSU rRNA
Rfam family: Bacterial small subunit ribosomal RNA
Source: RNAcentral
UAAUACGAAGGGGGCUAGCGUUGCUCGGAAUUACUGGGCGUAAAGGGCGCGUAGGCGGCUCUGUUAGUCAGGCGUGAAAGUCCUGGGCUCAACCUGGGAACUGCGCUUGAUACGGCAGGGCUAGAGGAUGGAAGAGGGUCGCGGAAUUCCCAGUGUAGAGGUGAAAUUCGUAGAUAUUGGGAAGAACACCGGUGGCGAAGGCGGCGACCUGGUCCAUUACUGACGCUGAGGCGCGACAGCGUGGGGAGCAAACAGGAUUAGAUACCCUGGUAGUCCACGCCGUAAACGAUGUGCGCUGGAUGUUGGGUGGCCUAGCCACUCAGUGUCGUAGCUAACGCGGUAAGCGCACCGCCUGGGGAGUACGGCCGCAAGGUUG